This 253-nucleotide ribosomal RNA is filed under the name uncultured bacterium. RNAcentral describes it as "partial 16S ribosomal RNA". It matches the Rfam family "Bacterial small subunit ribosomal RNA", at positions 524 to 776 of the family's 1533-position model. The record is from RNAcentral.
UACGUAGGGGGCAAGCGUUAUCCGGAUUUACUGGGUGUAAAGGGAGCGCAGACGGCAGUGCAAGUCUGGAGUGAAAGCCCGGGGCCCAACACCGGGACUGCUCUGGAAACUGUACGGCUAGAGUACGGGAGGGGCAGGCGGAAUUCCUAGUGUAGCGGUGAAAUGCGUAGAUAUUAGGAGGAACACCGGCGGCGAAGGCGGCCUGCUGGACCGAAACUGACGUUGAGGCUCGAAAGCGUGGGGAGCAAACAGG